AGCUUUGCGCAGAGGCAGUGUCGCAACCAAUGAAGUUCUAACUGUUGAGCGACUAUUCCUAGUUGAAAACAAACUUUUAUUAGAAAAAAGUCACAGUUUCGCCGCAACGGCGAAGCAAUGAAUUCGAUAACAACAAAUUGG
This is a small nuclear RNA of Rhipicephalus sanguineus (brown dog tick), 141 nucleotides long. RefSeq annotates it as U4 spliceosomal RNA. The record is from RefSeq and is a predicted model, not a curated record. The transcript has a single exon. NCBI's taxonomy places the organism in Eukaryota, Metazoa, Arthropoda, Arachnida, Ixodida, Ixodidae.